This 444-nucleotide long non-coding RNA is filed under the name Sorghum bicolor (sorghum). RNAcentral describes it as "long non-coding RNA (SBIC_LNC017892)". The record is from RNAcentral. Lineage: Eukaryota; Viridiplantae; Streptophyta; Magnoliopsida; Poales; Poaceae.
UCGUUUGUUGCUUAAACAGUAAUCAAGUCAUAAGAUCAUAGUCAUAGAAAGAAAACCCAAUGCUAUACUUGCCUUGAUCCAAUUGCUCCUACUAUCCUACUAGUUGUCAAGGUACUCAUCUUCAUGACCGAAUACUGCUCACCGUCUAUACCCGAUCACCAAUCAUCAACACAAAAACAAUCGAAGCCAAACAUACAUGAAGCAAAUAGAGCUACAAUUAGAAUAGUACACCAACAGUAGAAAAACAAUAAAAAAAAGUUUAUAAAAUGAUCCUACGCAUUACUGCGAUCACAUAGACGUAAAGAGCUAAAACGGAGAAGAUAUGAAUUUUCCAAGAUUUCCUUUAGUAAAGUAAUUAGAUAAAUAAAAUCUCCAAAAUAAAAUUUGCAAACUAUUGAACUAAGGGUAGUAACAUGUAGAUCUCGUGAAUAUGAACCUAACGCA